Non-coding RNA from Equus caballus (horse), 10056 nucleotides. NCBI's taxonomy places the organism in Eukaryota, Metazoa, Chordata, Mammalia, Perissodactyla, Equidae. The record is from RefSeq and is a predicted model, not a curated record.
GGACGGGAUGGGGCGCCGGGGGGCUGGGGGGCUCGGCGAGCGAGAGACGGGGGCGCGGGCGGCCGGGGUCACGCGCCAGCCGCGCCGGGAAGCGGCCGCGGUGAGUAACACGGUUGCCAUGGCGACGUGGCCGCGAGGAACAGGAAGCGGCAGAAAUAGCAGCCGCCGCGGCCCGCGCCGCCCGGCCCCUCCCCCCGCGAGCCCGUUGCCACGGCGACCAGCCCGAGCGAGGCUGCGCGGGCGGCCGCGGCCUCCGGCGCCCCGGUCUGCGCAUGCGCCCCGGGCCUGCCCCGCGCGGGCGCCGCCCGGACCCCAGAUCUGCCCGGCCGCCCGCUUGGGCGGAAAAAAGGGGAAAAUAGCAGCACUGUUUGUUGUGGGCCUUUGGAAAGCGGCCCCGCCUUUGUUCCUGGCCGAUUCGCUGGCUUCCAGGCGCCGGGGGCGGGCAGCCCAGGGGGCAGGGACACAGCCGCCCCGGGUCCCCAACGUCGUCUGAGUGCUGGGCGCUGGGCGAUGCCUCUCGGAGCCCUGGCCUGGGGCGGGCUGACCAGGCCCUGCUGCCCUUGGCCGCCUGAAGCCCUCUCCGAGCCUGGCCUCCCCAUCGGGGGUGGGGGGGACGUCUCCAGGUGACGCCCAGGGGUCCCCCGCCUGUGUCUCCUGGUCCCCUCUCCCCGGAUCCCCUUCCGCAAACUAAGCAGCAGAGAGCACAGAGGGAGAAGUGAAGUGCUGCCCACCCCCAGGCUCCCUCUCCACUCUCUGUUCACCAGAAAACGAGGAAACAGCCCACCCCCCUGGAAGCAAGUGUCGAGGGGCACCUAAAUGUUUCAUAAGCCAGAGCCGCUCUCCAGCAGCUUGUUUAUCUGGAAGCCUGGCUGCAGCCUUGCGUGUCUGAGGCGGGUGUGCACGUGUGCGUGUGUGUGUGUGUGUGUGUGUGUGUGUGUGUGCAUGGAGGGCGGGGGACACAAUCAUCUCUGAGGCUGUUUGUGGAGGGUUUUUUUCUCUCCAGAUUUGGUUUGGUUUGUUUUUAAUGAGGGUCAGAGGUCUGGGCUUCUGUGGGGAAGGGGGAAGGGUCACCUCGGAUGGACAGGCCGGGAGCUCCCUGGAGGAUGGGUCACAGGGCCUGGGGGCCCGGCGGAGGCCAUCAGCGGAGCCUCCCCAUCUGCCACUGCUCCCGGCAGCCGGGAGGGACUCCGUGGGCGCCAGGCUCUCCGACCUGCUCCCCGGGGUAUGGGCCCCAGAGAGGGCCCAGGCCCAGGACUCCCGGACCUCUCUCCCCAGGGCAGGACAGCUGUUGUUCCCCUGGCCCCUGCCCUGGCCACACUGGCCAAGAGAGAAGGUGAGCAGAGCAACCCAGGUCUCUGGGGUUUUCUAGAAUGGAAAGGAGAGGCUUUUGCUUUUUGAAUGGGGCGGCCUCAGCCUUCCAGCAUCCAGGCUGACCAGAAGGGAAUGCACGGAGCCAGUGUUCAAGGAAGGGGGACCACGGCUUCAAACCUCCUCCUCCCCACUCCCUGCCACCCCUCCCAGCCUCCUCCCCACGGUGGCCUUGUGCAGGCUGAGGGGUUCUAGCUGCUUAGCCUCUGAAAGAGCUAAGGAGAGAGGGUGGGGCUUGGGUGACGUUCCUGCCUCCCUUCCCCUCCCCCUGGCAACAUGUGGGAGAGGUGCCCAGGACCGAAGGGAAAGCUUGUCUGAUAUCCAGAAGACUGGGGGUCCACCAUGGCUAGCAUCCUAUUUGUCCCUUUCCUUCUUUUAGGAGGAAAUGAAGACACAGGGAGCAGUUGUUAUAAUAAAGAGAAGUCCCUGCCUCCGUGCAGAGGGCAGGAGCGAAUGCUGGGGCCCAGGGCUUUAGAACCAGCCGGUCCUGGUGGUGAAUUCUAGCUGGGCCCCACGGAAGCUCGUGCCCCUGCAUCCCAGGGACAGCGCAGCGCCCACCUGCCAAGUUGUGGUGGUUCCGUGAAGUGAGGCAGAAAAGCUCUUAGCGGCGCCUGGCACAGAGCUCAGAACGUAUGGCUGUUGUUGGAGCUGGAGGCGCUCAGUGCGCCACUCUCGCUGGUGUGACCCAGCGCUGCUGCCUCGGGCCCUGAGGCUCUGGGCCUGGGCUCUGUCCCCAGGCAGGCCCAUCUCUGUCACAGGCCCUGCCGCCAAGCCAAGGCAUGUCGCUUGCCUCCUUGGGGCCUGGGUCUUCCCCUCUGCCUUCAAAACAACCCUGAGAGGUGAAGGCCACGACGAUCCCAAUUUCACAGACGAACGGACAGAGCCUCAGAGAGGUGAACUCCCCUUCUGGGAAUCAGCAGCCUGGAAGGUGGCAUGGAACGCACCCCUGAGAGCCAGCACCUCGUGGGCCACGCUCCUUUUCUUGCUGGUGGAAUCGAGGCGGGUCCUCAAGCAUGUGUGGGGCACCAACCAUGAUGAGUUAUCCCAUUUUACAAACGUGGAAACGGAGGCGCAGACAGCGGCCAUGUUCAGCCCAGGCCUCGCAGAUAGCCCUGCUCGUCCUUCAGGGCUGGCCGCGCCCGGAAGGCCGCCCUGCCACCCGGGCAAGUCCCUCUCUGCGGUACCCUGCGCUUCUCCUCCUGUGUCCUCUUGGCAAUGAUAAAGAGCCUGCUCAGUGUGUCUCCUGGCCUGUAAGUCCCCUGAGGGCGGGUACCGUGUCUGUGUGCUCAGCUUUCUGCCCCAGAGCCAGGGCAGGUCUGGCACCUGAUAAGUGCCUGUUGUACGUUUGUUGAAUGAAUGAAUGAGUGAGUGAUGGAGUCAGAAUGGAAAGACAACCAGCCUUGUGACGCCUAGUCAAGAAUUAUUAUCACCCCUCUGCCUCGGGGUGUCUUCACCAUUUUAUACCUUAACUGGAGUGGAUGCUGAUGGGGGAGUCGCCCCCUCACCCACCAUCUAACUCAUCCUCGGGCCGCUGUCCUGCCCCCCUCAUUUCCCUGGGGUCUGACCUGGGAGCCUGUGUGCACACCCACUGGGUGAAGGGGAGAAGGAUGCUAUCCCGGCGGCCUCCCUCAGCUUGGCCUCCAAGGACCAGUGGAGGGUGGCUGCCUGCCUCGGUGGUGGCCUCACCGAGCCACCCCAGGCUCUCCAGGGGCCUGCUCCAGCCACUGGCUGGGAAAGUGAAGCCGUGACCCCACCCCUCCACCCCCAGCACAUCGUCCCCGCGCCUCCUCCUGGCCCGUGCCGUGAGCCUCCCAGUGCAGAGAUGUCCCGGGGACUCCCCUGCCGUCCCCCUGGACGUGGACCCACCAUGUUCCCCGUUUGUUUAUUUAAGACCAUCACACAUGCUUUCUCUGCGCCAGGCACUGUUCUGGGCACUUGACAGAUAUUUAUCCUUAGUAUGAAGUCAGUGCCAAUAUGUCCUCAUUUUACAGACAGGGAAACUGAGGCACAGAGAGGUCCGUGACUGGUCUGCUUUUUCCUGGGCUUUCACCCCUGACUGCUAGCUGGGGCCUUGGCUCUCACAGCCUCCUCAGGUGUUCCCACCUCCUGCUCACCGGGCUCAUGCGGCCCCACUGCCUUUGUCACACGGGUGCCUCUCCUGAGACGCUGGCACAGGGCGGUGGCACAGUGGGUGGCAGUGAGGAGGCCCUGGUACAUGGAUGGAGUGAGGACACAGCCCCCGGAACCAGCCAUAACUGAGUUUGAAUUUGGAUUCGCCACGUAUGGCUGUGGCAUCCUGGACAAGCGGCUUCGGGUCCCUCCGGCUGCUCUUCAUCUGAAGAACAAGGGCAAAGCCGUUUAUUCUCAAGGUUGUAACAAGGAGGACACAAGAGAGCCCGAGACAGUGCUGCGCCAAGGUCCCACAGGCCGUCUUUCACUAAUAAAGGUAAUAUUCUGUCCCUUUUCUCCCCAACCUGUCCUCUGCCCCUCAAAGCUGGUCAUCCCAGAAUCCUUUGCCCCCUUUGUGGGCAGAGUCCCCAGUGACAGGCAUUCCCAGAGCACUUCUGUCUGUGUCAUCAGCCUGGUGCCUGGUCGUGUCCACUCUGGGCCCUGGCCCCUCAGAGCCCCAGGCAGCGGGCAGACGUGGCCAGACGAAGGCGGGGGCUCUGCUGGGGAGAGAGCAGGCGUUCUGGGCUCGUCCAUUUGUGAGACGCUUAUUGAGCACCUGCUGUGUGCCGGGCUCUGUGAACGCGACCGCCCCCAGGGAGCCCCCACCGGCUGGAGAGGCCGACGAGUGGCCCAGCCGCCUUGACUCAGCAGCCGUGUGGGCGGCCAUCGCCCAGAGUGGGAGACUGGUCUAGCUGCAGAGGCAGAAGCUUCAGGAAGAAUUGACAGCCGAGCUGAGGCCAGAAGCGGGAGCUGGUGGCCGAGGGCGCUGGGGUAAGCCGGGCGUUCCAGGCAGGGGGCCGGAGAGUGGGACAAGCGUGGUCUUCAGGAAACAGCCGGUACUGGGUGUGGCCCUCGUGGGCGGGCGGAGGCCAGACAGGGCGGGCCUCGGGCCUUACUCCACAGAUGCCGAGAGUCCCUGCCAGGUGACAGGUGCCGACGGGGUGAACAAAGGAGAGCGGGCCUCUGCCCUCCUUACAUUCCAGGGGGAGACGGAGGGGCAAACAUCAGCCAGGUGACCGCACACGUCCCCAGGAUCACGGCCAAGGGCGCGGCGUGAAUAACCAGGGGACCAGGGAGGAAGGAGGCAGCCUAUGGUCGCGGCCAGAGCCGGGCCCUUCCUCCUAGGCUGCUGGGGGUGUGGCUCUUGAAGCAGGGCAGCGCAACUGGAGGGCGAUUGGAGUGACCCCUCUGUGGCUGGGGCAGAACAGAGUGGGAGGGAAGACCAAGGACCUGGGCCGGUGGAGUCUCCAGGCAAGGGGUGGCGGCCGGGGUCAGGGUGUGGCCAGGGGACAGACAGAAGCGGUGCGUCUGAGAGCCUUUCAGGAGGCAAAGAGACUGGUGCUUACAGCUGUGGGGGAGGGCGGUGGGGAGGCAAGGCCGAACCCAGAUUUCUGGACCAGGCCUUGGGGUGACAACGAUGCCAUUUGCCAGCGUGGAGAGCCCGGGGGCAUGGACGAGCUCAGCUUAGAGGGUCAGGCGCCCAACAUGAUCUUAGCAGGAAGGUCCUGCCGCCAGCAGCCACGGUGUCCAAGGUCCAGGGGAGAGGUUGGGGACCCAUUUGACCAGGACAGAGACUGGCCUGCAGCUGUGGGCCAGAGCUGCCCAGGGUCCCGCCCGAUUCUGCCGUUCUCGAAGAAGGGUUUGGAUCAUCCUUCCCUUCUCGUGUUCCUCAUUCAUCCCAGGGCAUCUGCAGUAUAGAACAUUCCAGAAUCCUGAAGACUUCUCCUUCGGGUUUGCCCAGUCCUUCCAAGUCCGCAUCCUCGCUCACACAUUCUUUUCCCCUGGGACCCAUGGAUCAAAGGCUCCAAUUAGGGGAGGGGGGACCAUUUCUUGGGGAGGCAGGGGGUCCCUGGGCGGCUCAGGUUGGCCCCCCGCUCAGCUUGAGCAAGCACCAUCACUGCUGUCGCCUCCUACGUGUUGUGUUCUCGAGAAUUCCCCCACUCCUCAUCCAGCCGGAAGCAAUGCUUGCGGGAGAAACUGUGGGGUCUUCAGCCAUGGUCCACGUGGGUGUAGGGUUGGGGGGGGCGUCCCUGGCUAUUCUCCUUGAGGGGCAUUCCUUGCCUCCUCCGGGUGAGGGCUCUGUGUCUGUUUUGUCCCUGCCACUGGGGGCUGGGCAGGGACCCAGCUGGGCUCUGUCGAUGGGCCUUGCAGACUGAUGGAGAAAGGGAUGUGUGUGUGUGAGGGAGAGUGCGCGCGCCCGCCUGAAACCUAGUUGUCCGCUGUCUAAUCCGUCAGCCAGAGGACAGCUUGCCAGCCCCUCCCCGACUGGCUGAUAAAUGCCGACCGCGGCCCCCCUGCUCCCGAGCUGCCUUAAUUGGUAUCAGGACGUGCCUGGACUCCAUCCUCCGGCCCCCGCCUUCCUCCUCUCCUGCCGCUGCCUCCAGCCUCUGGUGGGGCUCACCUGCUGCCACAGCCCCAGGAGGAGAGAUAUUCAUGUGUUUGGUUGUGGGGGCUGCCCAGGCCCUGCUGGGGUGCUCCCUAAUCUUCGCUGUGUGCGCCACAUCGUUCUUCUGGAAGGAACAGCUCUGAGUCCCCCACUGCCUCUGGCCCGGGGCUUUAGAGGAGGAGGCUGGGCUCACACAGGACGCAUAUCUACACCCUGGACGGGACGAUCGCCAUGUGCUCCAUUUUCUUCUGCAUCAUCCAGAGACGGUGUGGGGCUGCAUGAGGGUCUCACAGUGACCCCAGGCCCUGACCUGCCUGCUCCCUGGGUGGUGGACAGCUGCUCUCUGCAAAGAAAGGGGGCUUGCUGAUUCAACCCCCACGGGGGCUGCGGGCGUGUCACUCAUGGUCCACCAGGAGAUUUAUUUCACAGUAAAGGGACUAGGGGACAUGUGAGGCCAAGCAAUAGAGCAGUUUUCUUAAAAAGAGAAGAGAAGGAGCUGGGCCCGUGGCGUGGUGGUGAAGUUCAUGCAUUCCGCAUUGGCAGCCUGGGUUUGCAGGUUCAGAUCCCGGGUGUAGACUGACACCACUCAUCAGCCAUGCUGUGGAGGUGACCCACAUAUAGAAGAGAGGAGGACUGGCACACAUGAUAGCUCAGGGCAAAUCUUCCCCACCAAAAAAACAAAAAAAGAGAGAGAGAGAGAAGAGAAAAUAGCUUUAUUGAUUAUAAAUGUAAUAUAUACCCAUCAUCAUAAAAAAUUAAUACAAAAGAAGAAAGUAACAAUCACCUGAAAUCUACCCCCUCCACAGUAACCACUGUUGACAUUUCUGUGACUGCCCUUCCUUCCAGGUUUUUCUAGAUAUAUCUUUUCUUUCCCAAAGAUGGGCUUCAUUACCCAGUGUUUUGCAACCUGCAUUUUUUUCUCUGUCACUUAACAAUAUGUUGUGACUGUCUUCCCACGUCUAAGUCGUCGUUUUUCAGGGGGACGAGGAAGUCCAUGGUAAACACAUCCCGUGACCAGCUCAAACAGCCCCCUUGGGGGACACUGUCUGGUUCCAGCUUUUCAUUAAUGUACACGUCCCCAGGACGGCAUCAUUGUGCACACAAGCCCAUAGAAGUGGAGGCCCUAGGUCCACACGGGGUGGGUGCACCCACCACGUCGUAGGCACUGCCAGGCUCCCUGCCAUCUCUGCUGAAGUGCCAGUCUCUGACCAUUAGGAAGAGGGGCCCAUGCCGGCCGGGCAGAGGGUCCUGCCAGAGCAGCCCCCAGGCUCUGCAGCUGCAGGGGAAGCAGGAAGCCAGCGGGGUACCACGUCAUCCUGCCAUCAAGGGCCUUCAGCCACCUUUGCGUGGCUCUCUCCUGUGCCCUCUCCUUCUGCCUCCACUCGCCCACAGGCCACUGUCCCCAGCCCCCACGGAGGCCCCUUGGCCACGGCCCCCAGCCGAGCCUCUGGUUCUCUCUUCUCAGACAGGGAUAAAUCUGGACCCCAGGCCCCCUCACGCCCUAAUCACUUGAGCUUUCUCCCGAUUUGCAUGUCCUCAAGGAGCCUUGAUUAACGCCCUUGCUGGCAUCCUCUCUGCUCCAGCCACGAGGAAUCUGAUUGCGAAGUGGCCUCAACUUCUUCAAAAAUAAGAUAAACCCUCCCUAAUGCAAGUGGAGCCCAUGCUUCUCUGAACAGUGAGAGAUCUGGAGGCGUCUCCCAGGAGCCCCAUCAGCUCAGAAACGUUGGAAACUUCUGAAAGGAAUCAAGCCAUUUCUCUCACCAGCAGCCCAAAGCCUUUUCUCGGCACUGACAUGAACUCUCUUAGCAGUCAUUGGAGGUGGGCCUCAUCUUCUCCAGCCUUCAGACAGGAAACUGAGGCUCAGAGAGGGCAAGCUACUGGCUCUAGAUCACUCAGCCAGGCCACUUUCAGCUCAGCCGGAAUAUGAACUCAGCCCUGUCUGACUCCAGCCAGACCUUCAACUGACACUUGUUAAAAGCAGGCUGGGCCUGGGGCAAGGGCUGGGGGAAGGAUGAGGCUGGAAGGAGCAGACACGUGUAAUGAGGUGGCUUUGGCGUCCGGCCCUGGAAGUCCUUGCAGCUGACAAAGCCAGCCCUGAGAAGAGGACCGAGCGCCCAUCUGCUGUUCCCCAGCUGUGUGUUGGGACAGAGGGUGCCGGGUCUUGCUGUAACAGCGCAGCACCUUUGUGGCGUGACACGUGGUGCAGUGGUCACGACCCACAAGUGUACCUGCGCGUCACCCGUGUGGUCUAACCCACGUGUGCCCGCCAGCCUGCCCCAUCAGAGAGCGCCCGAACGCAUGGGAAUCUGGCUGCUCUCUGCAGCUGGGGGACGGGACGCUCUCCGGGGUCUGUGUGGGGCAGGAUGGGCCCCAGGGUGGCAGGGCACGGAGACCCGGCUCAGCCCUCUGCCCUGCCCUCCAGGCCCCUCCCGGCCCCUCCCGAGCCUGCCCGCCUGUCGCGGUUCUCCCUGCUUCUCUUGGGGCCGAGCUGUGGGAGCUGCAGGGUUUGAAGUGCUGGGGGGCGGGUAGCGCCGUGUUCUCUUGCUUCUCUGGGGUGGAGCAGUUUCCCAGCCUGCUGCUCCCGCCCUCGCUCUCUCCAGGGUCCUUGCUCCCGAUGGGUGGGGCAGAGGGGUCUCCCUGGGAGGCCUGGCCUCUUCCAUGACUUCCUGGUGUCUCUGGUCACCUCGGGGUUUUCUGGGCUGAGUGUGGCCGUCCCUGGCCAGAACCUGCCAAGCCCAGGGGCCUUGGGACAGGUGUGCAUACACGGUCCAGUGGCCAGAGCCUGGGACACAGCGUGCUGGGGGCCGCACCUUCCUGGGGGGCUGUAACAAGCUGUUCCUGCUCCUCUGGGGACAUCCACUCGGGGUGGGGAGGGGGCAGCAGGAGGCACAGAGCAGGCUGGGAACGUCCAUCCUCUCAGUGCCAGGCCCUGGGGCUCAAAGGGCAGGCACCUGGAAUGGAGGCCCCUGGGCCCACCCCCAACCCCCCACCCCCGCCUGCUGCUGGCCCCUGGUGGGGACGGCCCUUCCUCUCUGUGUUUGUCCUCCCAGCUGGGCCGGGGUCUGCGAGGGAGUCAGGGGAUGCUUGGGCACAUUCCCAAAGCUUUGGGGUUUCAGAGACCAAUAUAAUUUCCAAAGGAAGUUUGCGGACUAAUGUGGGGAUGCCAAUUUUUAAUUUUGCUAGAGAAGGAGGUUAAAGAGAAGAAGACAAAACACACGUUCAAAAUCCCAUCAUCAACUAUCACUUCAUUUUAUGAAAUAAAUUACAUUUUUAAACCAAAAAGCUACGAAGGACAUAAUCUUAGAAUGAAGGAACAUCCUCUCCCCAGAAAACAGCAUUUGGAGACUUCACACUGUUUCUUGUGCUGUAAGACCCGGGGAAGGUUUGCCUCAGCCGAGCAUCGGGCACUGGUCCCUAAUGGGGCACUCAGGAACACCUUGUGGUCACAAGAUGGCUGCUCCACCUCCUGCCAUCAAGUCCACAUUCUGAGCAGGAUAACGCAUAUUUUCCUUGAAAUCUUUGCCUUUUAACUCAACAGGGGAAACCUUCCCCAGGAUCCUCUGCUUUCAUCUCGUUGGUCAGAACUGGGUCACAUGCCCACUCUUACCUGCAAAGGAAGCUGAGAAAUGGCUUAUUUUAGUUUUCUGGACUCUGUGAUAGAGGAAGGCCCGAGGGAACGGAGUUGGAGUGGGUGUUUGGGAGAUCGCACAGAUAGUUUUCUGGGACGUCUCAGCUUUCAUUCCAUGUCACCCCCCGCUCGGGUCUGUGUGGAACGCGGCCUGUCACGACUGACUGAUCCAGCGCCCAGUUCCCUAAGCAGCAGCUGGGAAAGCCCAGUUCAGCCCCAAACCCCAGGCUCCUUCAUCCACCCAGGCUCGUCCCGAUUCUGGGGAUCCCGGUGCUGUUCCCGCCUGUAGUGGGGGCUCUGGAUCAAAGAGUUCCCGAUUUCAAAGCCUGUUUUCAGAGGAAGUGGUCCAGACAGAGCUGCCCGGGAAAGAGCAGGACAUCUAGGUAGACAUGAAGUUCAGGAAAUAAUGAACAAUUUUUUACUCUAAAUAUUUGCAUGGGACAGAAACUAAAUGCAUAAACUAAAAUGUUAUUCCUUGUUUCAUCGAAAUACAAAUUUAACUGAG